Molecule: ribosomal RNA, 446 nt
Filed under: uncultured Sulfolobaceae archaeon
Lineage: Archaea; Thermoproteati; Thermoproteota; Thermoprotei; Sulfolobales; Sulfolobaceae
Description: bacterial SSU rRNA
Rfam family: Archaeal small subunit ribosomal RNA
Source: RNAcentral
CUUACCGGGGCGACAGCAGGAUGACGGCCAGGUUUAAAGGGCCUUGCCCGACGCGCUGAGAGGAGGUGCACGGCCGUCGCCAGCUCGUGCCGUGAGGUGUCCGGUUAAGUCCGGCAACGAGCGAGACCCCGCCCCUAGUUGCUACCCGGUCCUUCGGGCCGGGGCACACUAGGGGGGACUGCCGGCGUCUAAGCCGGAGGAAGGUGGGGGCCACGGCAGGUCAGCAUAGGGGCCUAUCCCGAGGGAGGGCCCCGCUGAAGCCCGAAACCCCCGGGCUGCACGCGGGCUACAAUGGCCGGGACAGCGGGAUCCGACCCCGAAAGGGGGAGGCAAUCCCUUAAACCCGGCCUCAGUUGGGAUCGAGGGCUGUAACUCGCCCUCGUGAACGCGGAAUCCCUAGUAACCGCGCGUCAUCAUCGCGCGGUCGAAUACCGUCCCUGCUCCUU